Molecule: long non-coding RNA, 1265 nt
Filed under: Nicotiana tabacum (common tobacco)
Lineage: Eukaryota; Viridiplantae; Streptophyta; Magnoliopsida; Solanales; Solanaceae
Description: long non-coding RNA (NTAB_LNC010948)
Source: RNAcentral
CGAGUAAAAGCGCCACCGCGCCAAUAUAAAAAUUACUCCUAUUCAUUAGAUGAAAUAAGAAUACGCAUAUUAAUUAACCCCCCACCAACCCCAUCCCCCUAUCUCUCGUAUUUUUUCCAAAACGAAACCCUAUCCUCUCAAUGUGUUUUUUAAUCUGAAAGCAUAUGAAGUCCUUAACAAUCAACUAUUUCAAAUUUUUCUCUCAAAGGCUGAAGACUCACGUGAUGUCUAUUUGAACUGGGUGAAGACUCAGAAACUGAUAAUAACAUGGUUAUCAAUUUGAACAGGUUUGUCACUUUUCUUCUCUUUUUGGUUGAAGACUAGAAAUUUCAUUUUAGUGAAUAUUGAUUAUAGAGAAUGAUAAUAUUUUGUACGGAUUCUGUUCAAUAUUUAUUGUUGCGGUGUAGGGUUUAAAGUGGGAGUAUUGAGAUGUGAGGAUGGCGGCUAUGAUUAGGUUUAAAGAUUGGGUGUAGAGCAAGGAGGAUGAGGGAAUAAAAAAAAUCUCCCUUUAGUUGUUUUGUUCGCGAGAAGAAAGAAAUGUAGGUAACAGAAGUCUUUCUCUGCUGAGAUGUCCCUUUGAAUGCAACUGUAAACACUUGUAUUUUUGGGAUUGUGAACGCGCUUCCUGAAAACGAAAAUAAAUACUGAAAGUUGAUUAAAUUAGAUGUUAUAUAGUCAAAAAAGUUUGUUUUUUUUAUUAUUCCGUAGUUAAAAAGAAAAAAAAAACUUUUUGACCCAAAUAUGAUGUGUUGUGUUAGGAAAGGAAAGGAAAGGAAAUUGUAGAUAUGUAAUGUUGUGGUGUCACUUGCGAAAUUUUCUCACUUUGUUCCUAGAUUUUUCCUGUUAAGAUAGGUGGGAUUAAAAUUCAUUUGGUAUCAAAAUAUUACUAGGUUGUUUGGAUUGGCUAUACUUAUAAGAAAUAUUAUUUGCUUGAAUGCAUGAAACCUCAUUAAAUAGCGUCAAAAUCCAUCUCUUAUGAAUAAAAUGCCUUUGAUGAAGCCUCAUCUAUUUAAAUUGUCCUCUCUAAUGUGGAAUUUGUUACAAAGAAAGCUGCCUACAGAUGAUAAGAUCAAAUCCUUUGGAUUUUGUUUUGUCUUCUAAUGAUGUGGUGUUAGACCUUGUGAAGAAAUUAUGGAUCAUAUAUUUUGUGGUUGUACUAUUAGUGCUUCAAUAUUGCUGAAUUUUUCACAGUAGUUAGGUCUUAAAAAUGUACAGUAGGGUAUUAGAAUGAUUAUAAAACAGUCUAAUUAACAACUCACGCUGGC